UCGGGUCCAAUGCAGUCACCCGGCCGCUUCAAGGCAUUUUGCCCAAGCUCUGC
This 53-nucleotide non-coding RNA is filed under the name unclassified sequences. RNAcentral describes it as "chromate-resist RNA". It matches the Rfam family "chrB-b RNA". The record is from RNAcentral.